UCCAAACUUUUGGCCUGUACUGUAUAUGUGUAUAUGUAUGUAUGUAUGUAUGUAUAUAUACUUCUGGAAGUGAAGCUGGAGGGCAGAAAGUUUUUCUUACAACUAAUUUACGAGGAACAAGAACUGCAGCUUUUAAAUACCUCUUUCUGUGCAUAUGCACAUAAAUGUGUAUAUUAAAAACUGGAAAAGGGUUUCAUGUAAAGAUAGAACAAAAGUUUUUGUACACUCUUUGAUAUUACCUUUCCAAACAAAAAAAUUAAAAGAAAUACAGUAACUGCAGUGUUGGAAAAGAGUGAUAUAAACUUUGAUCUAUAUAGCCUUUACUUUGUCAGCUAGCUAUUGAACGUAAAUUAAAAUGAUAAUUAUUAGUCAUAGACUGUAAAAAUAAUAACUACCACAACAUCACCCAGUGGUUUGUAGACUCUCAUUUUGAAGCCUCACGUCUGGCAUUUUCACAGUAGCCAUCUUGGUUUUGUGGAACCAGAAAUGACUAUAUUUGGGUGAGAGGGUGGAGCUGUGGAAGACUGAGGGGUGGAUCUCACUGAGAUUCUGAGGACACUAUCAACAGACAGCCUGUCAUUUAGAGCAGUCUGGUCUUGAAACGUGCUUAACUUUAAACCUGAAAAAAAGGUAAAUUGGUGAGUUUUGUAAAAAUUGUUUUUCUAACAAACAUGUUUAUGUCGGCUGUAAAGGUGGGCCUUUCAACAUGGCAGAGUGUGGGGUUGACUGGCUUCUGGAGUCAGCCUCAAGUGUCUGUACAAAGAACUGCAGUCUUAGGCACUUUCAUGUUGGCUUCAGUUUUCAGCCCCAGAGUUUGAUGGUUGUUAUUAUUAUUAUUACUACUACAGGUGAAUUGUAUGUACAGUAUAUUAAAUACCUUUAAUAUAUGUGAUCCUGCUUUACAUGUUUCUGUCUUUCUUCCUUUUUUGCAGGCUUUACCACAAGCUUUUCCAGAGAACUUAUAGUUCACCGUCAGGAGGGGAGAUGCUGGUAGACCUCAAGGAUAGGCUAGAUCAGUACAACACGGUGCAAGGGGAAACCAGCGCAAAUAUGCCAAAAACUGAAGACCGUCAGGUGGUCAUCACCAUAUGUACCCAGGCCAUGAAAUGGGUGCACACAAAGAUGAGAGAGAGUGGAGAAAUGAUCUUUGUGGGUUCACCAGGUAUUUGUCCUUCUCACCCACUCCAUGGCUGGAGCAUUGCCAUUGGGUGUGCUCAUAAUGACAUCAGAGAGCCAGUCCACCAUUACAUGAGGACUUCAACUACUGCUAACCUUUUUUGCCUAGUGGUAUUUUUUUGGACGGGAACAGCCUCAACUCAUCAUGACGAGGGACUGCAGAUCUCUGCGGCAGUCCCUCCAUGUAGUUUUCCCUAAAGCCAGCCUGCUUCUGUGCAUGUUCCACCAAGCGCACACAAUAAUGUUGCUAAGCAAGACCGACCACAGCUGCCACAUUUAUUCAAGAGCCUUGUAUAUGCUAACUCAACUCUAUUACUGUACUUAGUGAUAGAGUACAAAGAUGUCUUCCUGAUCAUGUUGCAAUGAAAUAUCUUGGAUUCCUACACCACCUCGCAGAGGUGUGUUCUCUUUCUUAGGCUUCAUACAACACGUGAUCACUAUAUUUGCAAUACACUAUAACCAUCUUUCUGUAUGCUAUAACUAUCUGCAGCCUUACCGAUUAAUGGUCUGUUGUAUGAUGACUACAGGUGCAUGGGAGACAUGAAGAGUCUGUCUUCGCAAUGAUCUUUCAACAGGAGACAACACUAUCAAUUUUGUGGAGUGUUCUGCCAAUGUGGUGAAGGAGAAGAUCCUCCACAGGAUGAAGGCAUACAGUGCUACUCAGCUGGUAGAUGUUGUUGCCACCAGGAUGGCCUACUACAUUGGUUGCCUCACUGACAUAGCAAACAACAGAAGGGCUGGGGUUUCCAGAUUAAAGUGUGUCCUUCAUGAAAGUGAUGUGGAAUGUGGAAAGAUUGCACCAGUUUGGAGUAUGUGUUGUAUUUUUGUCUUGUAAUAUUUUCUAUUAUGAUGUAAAAUGAAAUACAUGGUUUGCAUCGUUUUUACAGGUAGACCAGAACCAGUACGUGGUUUCAAGCAAAACAUCAGAGUUGAAGUACAAUGUCAACACAGCAACUGGAUGCUGCAUGUGUCCAGUUGGAGUCACUGGUGCACUGUGCAAACAUCAAAUUGCAGUUUUGAAUAAGUUUGGUUAACAUAAGAGCUUUCCACACAUCAGCACACCUCAGACGAGAAGGCUCUACAAUGAGAUUUCAACUGUUUUGGGCAGGGCUCAUGAGGAGAGCAUGAAUGAGAGUCCAUCAGUUGCCAAAUCUAGUACCCCAGGUGGUGAAGGUGUUGUCAGUGCCGGUCUUGGACAAGGCACAUCUGGAGAGCACCUUGAGGAGAUGAUUCAGCAGAUCUACAAAAGUAUCACAAAUAAACUCAACAACUUUCUGGAAGCCUACAGCAAAACUGAUGAUACUUCCCUCACAUUAUCUGUGCAUUGUGUCUGCAUUGCUUUGGUAAGGUGCCACAGCUGAAAUAAAAAAAAAUCUCCAGUCUUCAAAAAUGAUUGGUGUAAAACCCGCAGCUCUUGCUAGAAGAAAAGCAGCAUUAGAAGAGAGGACCAGCAGUGAUACCUUGGCCACCUUCUAAGUGCUCAAGGACUGAGCAUAUGUAUUUAAAAAAACACGGCAGUGCAGGAGAAGUGAAGUGCACCCCAUUCCAUAUCAAACUGUGUAGAGGAAAACACAUCUCUCGGUGAUAAUCACAAGCUCAACUGCAGUGCACCUCACCCUUCCCAUCCAAGCCAGGGGAUGGACACUCAACUUCCCCAUUUCAAAGUGUUUUUUGAUGAACUGACUCAUGCAUGAAUGUAUUUGCUAUGGUCAGCAGUAAACAAUGUUAAGUAUAGCGACUUGACAGUAAGGCUCAGUAGCUCAUGUAGCAGUGUAUUUUGCUAACGUUAUAUUACCUUUACUUGUACUUAUUAUAGUAUAGAACAAUAUGUAACUGUUGCAGUAUUCCCGUUUAUUUAAUUUACCAGGCAGUCUUGAUUAUAACUUGUUCAUUUCUGCUGAAGUGUGUAAUAGUUAAUAGUUUUUAUGAGCAAGAUAUCACUAAAAAUCUACUUUUAGUGGUGGGAGAAGUUGGGGAGAAGUCAGAUCCUUCUAAGUUAAAGCAACAACACCUCAGUGUAAAUGUAUUCAUGCAUUCAACACUUUGCACGAGUAAUAUACAGAAGUAUUAUCAGCAAAAUGUUACAGAGAGUAGAAGUACAAAGAAUGACUGUUUCCAGAGAAAUGUUGGAAUCUUAGUGGUGAUGCAUUAAUCCUUACUGAUUAAUCAAUGCUAGUCACUGCCUGUGCUCGUUUGUGAAAUCAUUUAAAGCUACACUUACCUUUCUGGGAAUUUUACACUUUUCUUUGUUUAGGUUAAAAUGCUAUUAAUAAGCUGAUGGUACACUAAAAUGUAAGUGAAUUCCACCAGAAAUAAAACUCAUAAUUAUACCAUUCUCAUAUGGUUCUAAGAAAAAAGUUUUCUCCUGGAGGCCUCUGACUGACGUAACCACUCGCGUAGCAUCUCCCCACCACACCCCCACCCCUGAGUCUGUGAGACAACAAAUAUGCUAGUAACAGGGACGCUUGUGGAUAUAAACUAGCAACAGGAAUGCUUGUGGGUAUAAACUGUAAUUACGGUGCAACAAGAAGUAAAUUCUUCAGUGCAAUACAGUUGCGAGUUUCACACAGACAUUAGAAACCGCUGCAGAGAUCUAACGCUACAACCGCGAGAGCUCAGGAUGUGUAGCAAGCUUGGCCUGUUACGUUGAGCUAGCCCUGAGAUGACCGUGGUAUCGCCUGGAGCUGUCCCGACAGGGAGACAUUGGCAGUGCUGUGACAGGAAGCGGGAGCAGGGGAAGCGCGGAGCGGACGUUUGCCAGAAGGACGCUGGGAACAGUUCCCAGCAUCCUUCUGGCAAAUGUCCGCGAAAAAGGAUUACAUCCGACGAAAAAGGAUUACAUCCGAUUGUGGAGAUCCACUCACCGAAUUGUGAGGGACUGCUGCGUCCUUGUGUUCACUGAGACAUGGGUGAAUGGCAACAUAUCAGACUCCAGUGUUGAGCUAACGGGGCUAACACUAUAUAGAGCAGACAGGGAGGCUGCGUCAUCCGGUAAGCUCCGUGGUGUAUACACAAACAAUUCAUGGUGCUGUGAUGUGAAGAGGAUCUCCCAGUUCUGCUCUCAGGAUGUGGAGUUUUUGACUGUGAAAUGUCGACCCUUUUCAUCCUACUAUUGCACUAUAUGUUCUUUCUUUUAUGUUGCACAAAUUGUUUUUAAAUGUUUUGUUUCUUUUUGCUUUGGGUAUGCGAAAUGUCAUUUCGUUUUUGUGCUACGCAUAAAAAUGACAGAGAAGUUCAGUUCGUAACAUUAUAUAUGAUAACACAGCAUCCAGUUGCUAACGGCUAACGUUAGCCUACUGUAGUGUAGCCUCUGAAACAUUAACGUUAUCUUCCUUGUGCGUUUCCACUUACUAGUAACGUUAACGCUACUAUCUAAUGUUAGCACUGUAACCUUAUUCUCGUCAGUCAUCACUGACUCCGGUUGAGUUUUAAAACUCCGGGGUUGCAUUUUUAAUGUUACACUCGUCCUCCUCUUCCGUGUAUCUAACGUUACCUUGCCAAUGCCUACGUCUGUCUUAGAUGUAAUGAGGACGUAAUGGAGGAGGGGGUUGUAGGAUGUGGAUGGUCAGAUUUUUUCUAAAUGCUGUGUGAAAUGCAAGAAAGGUAAGAGUUCCUUUAAAUGAGCACCACUGUCAUCCUUAUCUUCAGAGUCUGACUGACACAAUUUACUUUGUAACCAUACAGUAUGUUAACUGGUUAAUUUUGGGUACAUGAUGUUAUUUCCUGUUACAUGUGGACCUACCUGAGGUUUUGUGCAAUAUUCAUUGUCUUUAAGCACUGGUUUACUUUUUAUUGCAUUUUGUUAUUAGUCAUCUACAAAAACUUUUCAUUCAAAGGAUGGGUAUGGCCUCAGAAAUAUGUCUUUUUUUCUGGAGUAAUGUGACUGUGUAUUAACCAAAUUAAAUAUCAAGAACUUUCAAGCCCCCUGCGACAAAUUGGUGAUUUUUGAUACUGGGCUACCUGCUGUUUUUCAAUAAAUACAAUAAAAAUGGUGUUCUACUGCUGUACUAGACAUUUGUCAUCACGGCUCAGCAUUAAC
Molecule: long non-coding RNA, 5215 nt
Organism: Epinephelus fuscoguttatus (brown-marbled grouper)
Lineage: Eukaryota; Metazoa; Chordata; Actinopteri; Perciformes; Serranidae
Exons: 4
Source: RefSeq, a predicted model, not a curated record